GGGGGUGUAGCUCAGUUGGCAGAGCGCAACAAUCGCACUGUUGAGGCCAGGGGUUCAAUUCCCCUCACCUCCACCC
RNAcentral lists this transfer RNA (76 nucleotides) under Acidimicrobiales bacterium mtb01. RNAcentral's name for it is "tRNA-Ala". It matches the Rfam family "tRNA". Rfam says of the family: Transfer RNA (tRNA) molecules are approximately 80 nucleotides in length. RNAcentral also lists the same sequence under 2 other names. The record is from RNAcentral. Lineage: Bacteria; Bacillati; Actinomycetota; Acidimicrobiia; Acidimicrobiales.